Molecule: non-coding RNA, 22 nt
Filed under: Arabidopsis thaliana (thale cress)
Lineage: Eukaryota; Viridiplantae; Streptophyta; Magnoliopsida; Brassicales; Brassicaceae
Source: RNAcentral
CGACCAAGCGGUAUCACUCGCA